GGGAGCCCGGCAGGGGGCCACGGGAAACUGAGGAAACUCCAGCCUCUCGUCCUAGGGGAGUCCCGAGAGGGACGGGGUUAGGCGCUCCGACAACUGCACAGAAACGGUACCUGUGAUAGCUAGAUGAAGAUGAUCGUCACUUCCCGUUUGGCGACAAAUGGGAAGGCGUGAGAGGCGUAUCACGGGUUGAAACGGCAGAUCUCCCCUUGAGCAAGUAGGGGAGGAAAGAGGACAGGAUGUCUCCCCUGAAACGCAAAGCCAAAUCCCCCCAUACAGAAGCUGGGUUAUUGCCGUGGCUCCU
Molecule: RNase P RNA, 301 nt
Filed under: Metallosphaera hakonensis JCM 8857 = DSM 7519
Lineage: Archaea; Thermoproteati; Thermoproteota; Thermoprotei; Sulfolobales; Sulfolobaceae
Description: RNase P RNA component
Rfam family: Archaeal RNase P
About the family: Ribonuclease P (RNase P) is a ubiquitous endoribonuclease, found in archaea, bacteria and eukarya as well as chloroplasts and mitochondria. Its best characterised activity is the generation of mature 5'-ends of tRNAs by cleaving the 5'-leader elements of precursor-tRNAs.
Source: RNAcentral